RNAcentral lists this ribosomal RNA (253 nucleotides) under uncultured bacterium. Its description in RNAcentral is "partial 16S ribosomal RNA". It matches the Rfam family "Bacterial small subunit ribosomal RNA", at positions 524 to 776 of the family's 1533-position model. The record is from RNAcentral.
UACGAAGGGUGCGAGCGUUGUCCGGAAUCAUUGGGCGUAAAGGGCGCGUAGGUGGCCCGGUCAGCGUGCGGUGAAAGCUCGGGGCUCAACCCCGAGUCGGCCGUGCGAGCUGCUGGGCUUGAGCACUGUAGAGGCAGGCGGAAUUCCGGGUGUAGCGGUGGAAUGCGUAGAGAUCCGGAAGAACACCGGUGGCGAAGGCGGCCUGCUGGGCAGUGGCUGACGCUGAGGCGCGAAAGCUAGGGGAGCGAACAGG